This 450-nucleotide ribosomal RNA is filed under the name uncultured bacterium. RNAcentral's name for it is "partial 16S ribosomal RNA". It matches the Rfam family "Bacterial small subunit ribosomal RNA", at positions 354 to 796 of the family's 1533-position model. The record is from RNAcentral.
GUGGGGAAUCUUCCGCAAUGGACGAAAGUCUGACGGAGCGACGCCGCGUGAGUGAAGAAGGCCUUCGGGUUGUAAAGCUCUGUCAUCAGGGACGAACGGCCGGUGGAGUGGAAAGCCACCGGAUUGACGGUACCUGAGAAGGAAGCCACGGCUAACUACGUGCCAGCAGUCGCGGUAAUACGUAGGUGGCAAGCGUUGUCCGGAAUUAUUGGGCGUAAAGCGCGCGCAGGUGGGAUCUUAAGUCCAUUUUGAAAGUUCGGAGCUCAACUCCGUGAUGGGAUGGAAACUGGGAUUCUUGAGUACCGGAGAGGAAAGCGGAAUUCCCCGUGUAGCGGUGAAAUGCGUAGAUAUGGGGAGGAACACCAGUGGCGAAGGCGGCUUUCUGGACGGUGUCUGACACUGAGGCGCGAAAGCUAGGGGAGCGAACGGGAUUAGAAACCCUAGUAGUCC